Molecule: non-coding RNA, 3187 nt
Organism: Nylanderia fulva
Lineage: Eukaryota; Metazoa; Arthropoda; Insecta; Hymenoptera; Formicidae
Source: RefSeq, a predicted model, not a curated record
UACAAUAGUAUAUUAAUAUAUAUUAAAUUAAUAUAUCAUUUUGACGUCACUUUGCUACUUGGGUUGGUAUCGUCGUGAUUUGAUGGAUAAAAGAGAUCUGUAUGUAAGAAAAAUCGCGAGGAAAAUCUAAUCUAUGUAAAUGUAGCGUGCGAUGUUUAAUAAUUUCUCUGUUUCUCUCUCUCUCUCUCUCUCUCUCUCUCUCUCUCUUCCCUUACAUUACAGUCGUUUUGCCUAUUACAGUCCCGGCCAAAAAUAAUCGUUAACCAUUCUUGAUCGAGAAGUUCGUUCGAUUAAGAUGAAUUUUUUGAUCAAUUCUAACUAAUUUGUAAAGUUAUUAUUAAGAUAUAGCGCAAUUUUUUUAAAGAUUUCUUAAAACUUGCGUCUCUCUCUCUCUCUCUCUCAGUAUUAUUUACAAUUGUCAGUGUGUUUGCCGUACAUACUUUUUAAUUUCUGAACACCGAUUUAUCGUGCGAUAUUCGCUCGAUACCUAUGUAAAGGAUUGAAUAAUUUGCGUACACUGCGUAAUAAUAUAACGUCGUAUUUUAUUCGAAUAUAUUUACAGACGUCACAAAAAAGCGUUUAUAAAAUGGUACGAAAUAUACAAUAUUAAUUACAAACUUAAUUACGAAAACUUAAGGGAUUUCCCGGAAAUCCUCGCCCUUAAACUUUCGACUGUUUGUCUCAAAUCUUUGUGUUUUAUACAGAUCGAUUUCGUCAGAUAAAUCGGCACGAUAUAAAUCAUAUAUUAUAAGAUCAAAAGUAUUCGACAUAUUUAUAAUAGAUCUCUUACGAUCGAAAAUUGUUGGCACGUUUAUCCUGCUUAGAAAAUUUGUCGCUGCGUAUCGUAGGAUCCAAGAAUUACGAUCGUGAUUAUAUGGAGAACGCUGUGGAAGUCGCACAGAUCGAUAUAAAAUCGCGUUAAUCGCGCAUACAAAAUCAUAUAAAGAUUACAGAAUCCAACGAAAAAUCAUUAUAGAGCAGGAUUAGGACUUCGUCCUAAACUUCAUCAUGUAAAUCAAAUAUUUUUGCACUUCGAGUAUCGAUCAAUUUUUGAUUAUCGAUUAAUCCUUAAUUAUCGAUUAAAUAUCGAUUAUUGAUCGAUUAAUGAUCGAUCAAUUAUAAACAGUGGCACGAAGAACACAUCACGAUCACAGGAUUUGAUACUGGUUCAGCAGGGUGUAGACUAUGACCCAAAGAAGGAACGCCACGAUGACGGAGACGAGGAAGAUUGUCUUGAGGGAGUGCCAAGGACUCUCGGAGUGCUGCUCGCCGUUGCGGUUACUCCUCCAGACCUUGCAGCCGCCGUUCUUGCAGGGCGCCGGCUCGCCACCGCUGGUGUGUGGCGUUGACGUCGCGAUGCUGCUACCCGGCAAGGUCACCUUCACUUCACCCAGCUCCGUCAUCGCCUCGCCGGUAGCGUGGCGAUGCACCUCUGCCACCGCCGCCGUCGUCGGCUCGAACUUCGACGACGGUUCCAUCUGAAGAAGAGAAUGCAAUUAUUUUCAAAAUUGCUGAAUAAAAAUUCUCACAAUGAUAAUCAAAGCGAAGUCAAUAACGUGUGUGAUGAUGAGGAUAUGAAAGUGAAAGGAACAAAACAGCCGAUGAUUACGCGUGCUUCAGGAAUCCGGCUUUUCGAGAGGAAGGGAUAAUUAUGUUGCGGAUGUGACACGAUCAUAUAAUAUCAAGUUUAUAACAGAGAAAACUUAUCUUGGGGUCCAGAUAUAAUCUCGUAUGGAUUCGAUCGACUUCGUCAUAUAUAAAGAUUAUAGAUAAUCGAAAGAGGACACGGAACAUUUUAUUUACAGUGCAAUGUGCAAUAUGUGUACAUACAUAUAUUACGUGUAUAAAUGCGUCUGAUAAGAUGGAAGACAGGGUAGGAGACGGAAUAAAGGAAGGGAUAGCUUCACAUAUAUAUGUAUAUACACGAUGAAGGAAAUAUUGUGUUACGUGCAAAUUUCCCAGCGUUUGUGUAUAAUAUAUAUCGUGUGCGACUACCUUGCAUAAUAAUUUUCUUCCGUCUUAUUGUAUUAUUUUCCACUAGAACAAUCACGACCUCGACGAGCCAUAUUCGCGAAUAAACGAGCGAAAUUAUUUCUCACGUCGACACUUCUUUGCACACGUGUGUAAUUGGAAAUGCGGUAUCCGGUAUCACGAAAGAAUCAUAUCUCCGAUUGAUUAAGCUCGUCGUCUUGUCUUUUGGUUAUUUUGAUCAAUUCCUUGUCGACUUUUUAUCGCGCGAUAACGCGCGAGCACAUUCAAGCGAUUGUAGUUAUAUGAAAAAAAAUGAAAAAAAGAAAUAAAUCGACGAAAAUUAUAUAAUAUAUAACGAUUUUUUAGUGUACACUUGUGAGAAAUCGAGAUAAAAAAUAUGUGACUCGUCGAUGAAAUAUUAUUGCUCCAAUUCUUCAUCCGAAUGUAUAAUAAUGAUUCGCACAGCUCGCAGCUGUCACAUCAUACCUGAUGAUGGCGCGUGUCAGCAAUGGCGGCGGGACGUUCGACGCAACGUUCGCAAAUGGAAUAACGAUGCAAGAUAUCAUCGGAUCGAUCAUAUAUCGAUUGAUAUGUGUGUUACACUUUCGUGAACGAUAAGGCGACACGAGUCGCGAGAGGCCUGAAAGUUUAUACAUUCUCUAUUAUUUGUCGCUCACCUGACGCAUCUGUUGCGGCCGCCAGGUGCGCUUGAAAAAGCUCUCGAAACACUUCAUGCUUGCUUCAUCACUCUCCCCCACCUCCUCACAGUCCUCACCUCUUCAAUAUCGGUCAUAACAUAUUGUUCUUUUUUGCUAUCAGAGCUAUUUGCGACGCAAGAACUCGAUCGUCCUCCCGUGUAACCCGAUCGAGGUCGAUCGCGGAGUCGAAGUCAAGUUAUGGUAGAGAGGGAUCGAGGAGCACAAUUAUUUUUAUAUAUUUUACGCGAACGAGAAUGAUAAAUAUUAAGGACACCCGCGAGCAGAUGCGCGCCGUUCGCCGAGCGUUCGCCGACUAAUGAGAGGAACUCCUUCGCAAAGAGAUGCUGGCGAAAGAGUGUUGUUGUUCCUCCACACUUCUCCACUCGCGGAAGCGAGUCGCAAAGAAGGACUUAUUGGAUUUACUUUCAAAAAUAUGGAAACAAAUAUUGAACAUCGAGCUCAUAGAUUAGUUAGUUAAACUAAUAUAACAUCUAAUAAAUAUUUAAAUAAUAAAUAAA